CCUACGGGUGGCAGCAGUCGAGAAUCAUUCACAAUGGGGGAAACCCUGAUGGUGCGACGCCGCGUGGGGGAAUGAAGGUCUUCGGAUUGUAAACCCCUGUCAUGUGGGAGCAAAUUAAAAAGAUAGUACCACAAGAGGAAGAGACGGCUAACUCUGUGCCAGCAGCCGCGGUACUACAGAGGUCUCAAGCGUUUUUCGGAAUCACAGGGCGUAAAGCGUGCGUAGGCUGUUUCGUAAGUCGUGAGUGAAAGGCGCGGGCUCAACCCGCGGACGGCACAUGAUACUGCGAGACUAGAGUAAUGGAGGGGGAACCGGAAUUCUCGGUGUAGCAGUGAAAUGCGUAGAUAUCGAGAGGAACACUCGUGGCGAAGGCGGGUUCCUGGACAUUAACUGACGCUGAGGCACGAAGGCCAGGGGAGCGAAAGGGAUUAGAUACCCCAGUAGUC
This 446-nucleotide ribosomal RNA is filed under the name uncultured bacterium. Its description in RNAcentral is "partial 16S ribosomal RNA". It matches the Rfam family "Bacterial small subunit ribosomal RNA", at positions 338 to 795 of the family's 1533-position model. The record is from RNAcentral.